GAUGAACGCUGGCGGCGUGCCUAAUACAUGCAAGUCGAGCGGUAAGGCCACUUCGGUGGUACACGAGCGGCGGACGGCUGAGUAGCACGUAGGAACGUACCCCAAAGUGAGGGAUAAGCGCCGGAAACGGCGUCUAAUACCGCAUGUGGUCUUCGGACUAAAGCUCCGGCGCUUUGGGAACGGCCUGCGCAUGAUUAGCUUGUUGGUAAGGUAAUGGCUUACCAAGGCGACGAUCAUUAGCUGGUCUGAGAGGAUGAUCAGCCAGACUGGGACUGAGACACGGCCCAGACUCCUACGGGAGGCAGCAGUAGGGAAUCUUCCACAAUGGGCGAAAGCCUGAUGGAGCAACGCCGCGUGCAGGAUGAAUGCCUUCGGGUUGUAAACUGCUUUUAUCUGUGACGAUUAUGACGGUAGCAGAUGAAUAAGGAUCGGCUAACUCCGUGCCAGCCGCCGCAGUAA
RNAcentral lists this ribosomal RNA (459 nucleotides) under uncultured bacterium. Its description in RNAcentral is "partial 16S ribosomal RNA". It matches the Rfam family "Bacterial small subunit ribosomal RNA", at positions 28 to 523 of the family's 1533-position model. The record is from RNAcentral.